This 337-nucleotide ribosomal RNA is filed under the name uncultured crenarchaeote. RNAcentral's name for it is "bacterial SSU rRNA". It matches the Rfam family "Archaeal small subunit ribosomal RNA", at positions 33 to 375 of the family's 1478-position model. The record is from RNAcentral. Lineage: Archaea; Thermoproteati; Thermoproteota.
UCAGAGUGGGACUAAGCCAUGCGAGUCAACAUAGCAAUAUGUGGCAUACGGCUCAGUAACACGUAGUCAACAUGCCCAGGGGACGUGGAUAACCUCGGGAAACUGAGGAUAAACCGCGAUAAGUCACUGCUUCUGGAAUGGGCAAUGACUUAAAUCUAUAUGGCCCCUGGAUUGGACUGCGGCCGAUCAGGCUGUUGGUGAGGUAAUGGCCCACCAAACCUGUAACCGGUACGGGCUCUGAGAGGAGGAGCCCGGAGAUGGGCACUGAGACAAGGGCCCAGGCCCUAUGGGGCGCAGCAGGCGCGAAACCUCUGCAAUAGGCGAAAGCCUGACAGGG